CAUGCCCCCCUCCCUAUGGCUUGCUGGCAUUCAAAGUGGUGAGCCAUAGCGGGGUGGCAUAGU
Molecule: microRNA precursor, 63 nt
Organism: Monodelphis domestica (gray short-tailed opossum)
Lineage: Eukaryota; Metazoa; Chordata; Mammalia; Didelphimorphia; Didelphidae
Source: Ensembl